GGUCAUAGCUCAGUGGCACAACAUCUGCUUUGCAUGCAGAGGGUCCUAGGUCAAUCCCCAGCAUCUCCA
Non-coding RNA from Podarcis lilfordi (Lilford's wall lizard), 69 nucleotides. NCBI's taxonomy places the organism in Eukaryota, Metazoa, Chordata, Lepidosauria, Squamata, Lacertidae. The record is from the annotation of a GenBank genome assembly.